UCCGGGGUAGCUCAGCUGGCAGAGCAGCGGACUGUUAAUCCGUUUGUCGUGGGUUCGAUCCCCACCCCCGGAGCCA
RNAcentral lists this transfer RNA (76 nucleotides) under marine actinobacterium MedAcidi-G3. Its description in RNAcentral is "tRNA-Asn". It matches the Rfam family "tRNA". Rfam says of the family: Transfer RNA (tRNA) molecules are approximately 80 nucleotides in length. Their secondary structure includes four short double-helical elements and three loops (D, anti-codon, and T loops). Further hydrogen bonds mediate the characteristic L-shaped molecular structure. tRNAs have two regions of fundamental functional importance: the anti-codon, which is responsible for specific mRNA codon recognition, and the 3' end, to which the tRNAs corresponding amino acid is attached (by aminoacyl-tRNA synthetases). tRNAs cope with the degeneracy of the genetic code in two manners: having more than one tRNA (with a specific anti-codon) for a particular amino acid; and 'wobble' base-pairing, i.e. permitting non-standard base-pairing at the 3rd anti-codon position. The record is from RNAcentral. Lineage: Bacteria; Bacillati; Actinomycetota; Actinomycetes. RNAcentral also lists the same sequence under 4 other names.